Molecule: transfer RNA, 64 nt
Filed under: Emplectonema gracile
Lineage: Eukaryota; Metazoa; Nemertea; Enopla; Monostilifera; Emplectonematidae
Description: tRNA-Lys
Source: RNAcentral
UGUUUUAGAAGCUGAUUUUAUAGCAUUGGAUUUUUACUCUAAAGGAAGGGGUUUCCCCUAAAAU